CCUACGGGAGGCUGCAGUGGGGGAUAUUGGACAAUGGGGGAAACCCUGAUCCAGCGACGCCGCGUGAGUGAAGAAGUAUUUCGGUAUGUAAAGCCCUGUCAGCAGGGAAGAAAGAAAUGACGGUACUCGACCAAGAAGCCCCGGCUAACUACGUGCCAGCAGCCGCGGGAAUACGUAGGCGGCAAGCGUUAUCCGGAAUUACUGGGUGUAAAGGGUGCGUAGGCGGGGAUGCAAGUCUGGAGUGAAAGGCGGGGGCCCAACCCCCGGACUGCUGUGGAAACUGGGUAACUUGAGUGCAGGAGAGGUAAGCGGAAUUCGUAGUGUAGCGGUGAAAUGCGUAGAUAUUAGGAAGAACACCGGUGGCGAAGGCGGCUUACUGGACUAUAACUGACGUUGAGGCUCGAAAGCGUGGGGAGCGAACAGGAUUAGAUACCCUUGUAGUC
RNAcentral lists this ribosomal RNA (443 nucleotides) under uncultured bacterium. Its description in RNAcentral is "partial 16S ribosomal RNA". It matches the Rfam family "Bacterial small subunit ribosomal RNA", at positions 338 to 795 of the family's 1533-position model. The record is from RNAcentral.